GACGAACGCUGGCGGCGUGCUUAACACAUGCAAGUCGAACGGAAAGGCCCUGCUUUUGUGGGGUGCUCGAGUGGCGAACGGGUGAGUAACACGUGAGUAACCUGCCCUUGACUUUGGGAUAACGUCAGGAAACUGGGGCUAAUACCGGAUAGGAGCUCCUGCUGCCUGGUGGGGGUUGGAAAGUUUCUGCGGUGGGGGAUGGACUCGCGGCUUAUCAGCUUGUUGGUGGGGUAGUGGCUUACCAAGGCUUUGUCGGGUAGCCGGCCGGGGGGGGUGACCGGCCACAUUGGGACUGAGAUACGGCCGAGACUACUAGGGGGGGCAGCAGUGGGGAAUAUUGCACAAUGGGGGGAAGCCUGAUGCAGCAACGCCGCGUGCGGGAUGACGUCCUUCGGGUUGUAAACCGAUUUCGCCUGUGACGAAGCGUGAGUGACGGUAAUGGGUAAAGAAGCACCGGCUAACUACGUG
RNAcentral lists this ribosomal RNA (468 nucleotides) under uncultured bacterium. RNAcentral describes it as "partial 16S ribosomal RNA". It matches the Rfam family "Bacterial small subunit ribosomal RNA", at positions 28 to 507 of the family's 1533-position model. The record is from RNAcentral.